RNAcentral lists this ribosomal RNA (406 nucleotides) under uncultured bacterium. RNAcentral describes it as "partial 16S ribosomal RNA". It matches the Rfam family "Bacterial small subunit ribosomal RNA", at positions 30 to 526 of the family's 1533-position model. The record is from RNAcentral.
AUUGAACGCUGGCGGCAGGCCUAACACAUGCAAGUCGAGCGAGUGGCGGACGGGUGAGUAAUGUCUGGGGAACUGCCCGAUGGAGGGGGAUAACUACUGGAAACGGUAGCUAAUACCGCAUACCAUCGGAUGUGCCCAUAUGGGCUUAGCUAGUAGGUGGGGUAAUGGCUCACCUAGGCGACGAGCCCUAGCUGGUCUGAGAGGAUGACCAUCAACACUGGAACUGAGACACGGUCCAGACUCCUACGGGAGGCAGCAGUGGGGAAUAUUGCACAAUGUGCGCAAGCCUGAUGCAGCCAGGCCGCGUGUAUGAAGAAGGCCUUAGGGUUGUAAAGUACUUGCAGCGAGGAGGCGUUACUCGCAGAAGAAGCACCGGCUAACUCCGUGCCAGCAGCCGCGGUAAUAC